RNAcentral lists this ribosomal RNA (253 nucleotides) under uncultured bacterium. Its description in RNAcentral is "partial 16S ribosomal RNA". It matches the Rfam family "Bacterial small subunit ribosomal RNA", at positions 524 to 776 of the family's 1533-position model. The record is from RNAcentral.
UACGUAGGGUCCAAGCGUUAUCCGGAUUUAUUGGGCGUAAAGCACAUGUAGGUGGUCUAAUAAGUCUUCUCUUAAAUCUCCAAGCUUAACUUGGAUCCUGGAGAAGAUACUAUUAGGCUAGUGGUCAGCAGGGGCAAAUGGAAUUCCCGGUGUAGGAGUGAAAUCCGUUGAUAUCGGGAGGAACACCAAUGGCGAAGGCAAUUUGCUAGGCUGAUUCAGACACUGAGAUGUGAAAGCGUGGGGAGCGAACGGG